UACGUAGGGGGCGAGCGUUGUCCGGAUUUAUUGGGCGUAAAGCGCUCGCAGGUGGUUCGUUGCGUCGUGCGUGAAAGACCCCGGCUCAACUGGGGAGUGUCGUGCGAUACGGGCGAACUGGAGGCCAGUAGGGGGAUGCGGAAUUCCGGGUGUAGUGGUGGAAUGCGUAGAGAUCCGGAGGAACACCAGCGGCGAAGGCGGCAUCCUGGACUGGUCCUGACACUCAGGAGCGAAAGCGUGGGGAGCGAUCCGG
RNAcentral lists this ribosomal RNA (253 nucleotides) under uncultured bacterium. RNAcentral's name for it is "partial 16S ribosomal RNA". It matches the Rfam family "Bacterial small subunit ribosomal RNA", at positions 524 to 776 of the family's 1533-position model. The record is from RNAcentral.